RNAcentral lists this ribosomal RNA (704 nucleotides) under uncultured bacterium. RNAcentral's name for it is "bacterial SSU rRNA". It matches the Rfam family "Bacterial small subunit ribosomal RNA", at positions 139 to 878 of the family's 1533-position model. The record is from RNAcentral.
CGGAACAACACAGGGAAACUUGUNNNAAUACCGGAUAAGCCCUUACGGGGAAAGAUUUAUCGCCGAAAGAUUGGCCCGCGUCUGAUUAGCUAGUUGGUGAGGUAACGGCUCACCAAGGCGACGAUCAGUAGCUGGUCUGAGAGGAUGAUCAGCCACAUUGGGACUGAGACACGGCCCAAACUCCUACGGGAGGCAGCAGUGGGGAAUAUUGGACAAUGGGCGCAAGCCUGAUCCAGCCAUGCCGCGUGAGUGAUGAAGGCCCUAGGGUUGUAAAGCUCUUUUGUGCGGGAAGAUAAUGACGGUACCGCAAGAAUAAGCCCCGGCUAACUUCGUGCCAGCAGCCGCGGUAAUACGAAGGGGGCUAGCGUUGCUCGGAAUCACUGGGCGUAAAGGGUCCGUAGGCGGUGCGGCAAGUCGGAAGUGAAAUCUCUGGGCUUAACCCAGAGGCUGCUCCCGAAACUGCCGUGCUAGAGGAUGAGAGAGGCGAGUGGAAUUGCGGGUGUAGCGGUGAAAUGCGUAGAUAUCUGCAGGAACACCCGUGGCGAAAGCGGCGCGCUGGACCACUACUGACGCUGAGGAACGAAAGCUAGGGGAGCAAACAGGAUUAGAUACCCUGGUAGUCCUAGCCCUAAACGAUCAGGACUUGGGGUGCCACCCGUUCGGGUGUCGUCCCGGAGCUAACGCGUUAAGUCCUGCACCUGGGG